Molecule: ribosomal RNA, 468 nt
Filed under: uncultured bacterium
Lineage: Bacteria
Description: partial 16S ribosomal RNA
Rfam family: Bacterial small subunit ribosomal RNA
Source: RNAcentral
GAUGAACGCUGGCGGCGUGCUUAACACAUGCAAGUCGAACGGAAAGGCCCAAUCUUGCUUGGGUACUCGAGUGGCAAACGUGUGAGUAACACGUGGGUGAUCUGCCCUGCACUUCGGGAUAAGCCGUGGAAACUGGUUCUAAUACCUGAUAGGACGAUGGUUUGGAUGCCAUUGUUGGAAGUUUGUACGGUGGAGGAUGAGCUCGCGGCCUAUCAGCUUUUUUGUGGGGUAAUGGCCUACCAAGGCGUCGACGGGUAGCCGGCCUGAGAGGGUGUACGGCCACAUUGGGACUGAGAGACGGCCCAGACUCCUACGGGAGGCAGCAGUGGGGAAGAUUGGACAAAGGGAGCAAGCCUGAUGCAGCGAGGCCGCGUGGGGGAUGACGGCCUUCGGGUUGUAAAAUCCUUUCGCUAGGGACGAAGCGUUUCUGUGACGGUACCUGGAGAAGAAGCACCGGCUAACUACGUG